RNAcentral lists this ribosomal RNA (253 nucleotides) under uncultured bacterium. Its description in RNAcentral is "partial 16S ribosomal RNA". It matches the Rfam family "Bacterial small subunit ribosomal RNA", at positions 524 to 776 of the family's 1533-position model. The record is from RNAcentral.
UACGAAGGGGGCUAGCGUUGCUCGGAAUCACUGGGCGUAAAGCGCACGUAGGCGGACUCUUAAGUCGGUGGUGAAAUCCUGGAGCUCAACUCCAGAACUGCCUUCGAUACUGAGAGUCUCGAGUCCGAGAGAGGUGGGUGGAACUGCGAGUGUAGAGGUGAAAUUCGUAGAUAUUCGCAAGAACACCAGUGGCGAAGGCGGCUCACUGGCUCGGUACUGACGCUGAGGUGCGAAAGCGUGGGGAGCGAUCCGG